This is a long non-coding RNA of Rosa chinensis, 3067 nucleotides long. RefSeq lists it as uncharacterized. Lineage: Eukaryota; Viridiplantae; Streptophyta; Magnoliopsida; Rosales; Rosaceae. The transcript is spliced from 15 exons. The record is from RefSeq and is a predicted model, not a curated record.
AGGUCAUAAACAUAUCUGCGGCGUAUUUGAAUGAGCCGGAGUCAGAACAUUGGUUUCUCCCUUCCUUUUUUGGGGAACGAGCGAGGGUAAAAGAUGAAUCAUGUAGCUAUGCUAAGUGGCUCACAUCAACCAUUGAGAUGUGUGGUCUGAAGAGGUUUCAUCGCCGUCUCCAACAAUGCUCCAAGAUAUUCAUUCCCUUGCACGACAAUAUGGAAGACCACUGGAUUCUGUUGGUCAUGCACCUCCCUGGAAAAAAAAGGCAGAGGUGCUGGACAGCUUCCCUGAUGUAAGGUCAUGUGAAAGGCGAAUGGAUCAUGCAAGAGAUGUGAUGGCAAUGUUGCAGAAGGUAUUUGGUACUGAAACAACAUGGUCAAACUCCAAAUUUUAUCAUUUUCCAUCAUUCACUCUUAACUUUUCGGACUUUAACCCAACGCAUGAACAAAAAUCUGAGAGCGGGGUAUUUGUUAUAAGGCACAUGCAGUACUACCGUGGCAUGUGGUCAACAAUGUUUCAUUCGGAGGACCAGCGUACUCGAUUGGCACUUGAAAUUGUUCUUCAUCCAAGGAAUGAACACCGUCAAAUAUUGAUUGGAGCAGCAGCAGGAGCUUCGAUGCCGCCAAUAGGUGAAAGUGAGCUAUUCAAAAAUAUUCCUCUUCCACCAACCGGAAGAAAGUUUCGUAGCCACCGUAAGCGGCGAGAUCAUGUGUCGAAGGACGUCUAGGUUAUAUCUUGGUCUUAAGUAUUAAUUAAAUGACAGUUUGAGUAAUUUAUUGUGAGAGCCCAUACCCAAAACAGGGUCAUUUUUAUUUUGUUUUUGUUUGGUUGUUGCGGUAGUCAUAUUUUCAGUUUUGGCAUCACUUUAUCAGUUUAUCUAGUGCUACUGUUUUCAUAGACUUUGUGGUAUCCUUGUGUAUUAUUUUUGUUUCCAUGGUCUAGUGUUUGUAAUUUUUGUUUGUUUGUUUGGCAGCAAUUUGUCUAGUCUUCGUAAUUUUUAUUUUAGAUGCAUUACUUAUAGUUAUAUACUGUGUUAGCUUUUUUAUUUGAAUCCUUUUCUUUUUAUUUCUUGAAGCAUCCAAACUAAGUUUGAAAUUUUGGCCUGGAACAAUUUUGAAAGAGAAGAAAUUUUUGGUGGCUGUGUAUGUUUAUGUGUUUUUGAUUUAGAGCUUUCAAAUAUUGAGAUAUAUUUUGAAAUGGAUACACAACUGCUCGGUACUAUAUAUAGCUAUUGAAGUUUCGAGAAGUAUGAGUCAAGGUUAGCACUACUACAAAGCUUUAAGACGAUGUAAAUAGUAAUAUAGGAAUUCCGUCAGAAGUUAAGGUUUCCAGUUUUUAAGGUGAUGCUAAUCUGCAUAUAAUCUUGCAAUUUUUACAACUUCAUUAGUAUUCCCUGUUUCCAUUUUAAUUUAGGUUGAUAAGGUGGUCUGGGUUGGAGCUUUUUCACUGUUUUGUUUGUUUGGACUUUGGAAAUUGAUAUUAACUCUUACUUUACGCAAUUGUCUUGAAACUCUUACUAUAAUUUUAUAAAUGUAUAUCACUUCUCUUGAUAAUGACAAGGAUUCUUUUUUUGAGAUCUCUAGACGAUUAAUUUCUUUGAAGUUGUAAGUUAUGAAACAGGGUUUUGGUUAGAUUGCUCUAUGGUCUCUUACCGCUGGAUCUCACCGGGAAAAUGCAGGUAUAUCAAUAGGGUUUGAUCUUGGAAUUUCAAGAUGCUGGCCAAUUUUGUUCAUAGAAUGAAUCGACCAACACCUUUUUGAGUGUAGAGUGUAGUACUCUUGCUGCCUGCCAGGGAAUUCGACUGAAGUUUCAGGCGCAUCUGACAUUGUUUCAUCAAACUUGUUGCAGGUAAUCCUGUUGAAUGACAAUACUGAAGUCCGCACUAUUAGAUUAGGACUUCAGUUGCCUGAGCCUUGCAUCGACAUGGAGAUUAUUGUUCAAAGCGUUAGACUAAUGAAGGUUGAUGGUUCUGUACUUUCUCUGAACAUAAAUCACAGCUCAAGACAUCUUGCUGUGGGAUCUAGUAAAGGACAUGUUUCAGUUAUUGAUAUAGAAGGGCCCACUCUAUUAUAUAAAAUCCACAUUGCAAGUGAAAUUUCUACCCGCAUCAUCUCUCUGCAGUUUGAAACCUGCAGUUUUCAUGGUUUCGACAAGAAUGUCUUAGCUGUUGCAACAGAGGACUCAUCUGUUUUGGCUCUUGAUAGUGAUAAUGGAAACACAUUGAGCACUAGUCUGGUUCAUCCCAAGAAACCCACUAGAGCACUUUUAAUGUAGAUAUUGGACUCCAGCAAAGGGAGUAGUGUUGAGGAUGCCAUGCAAAAGCAGUCUUUGCUACUGCUAUGUUCCGAAAAAGCAGCAUACAUAUAUUCCUUCACACAUGUCAUGCUGGGAGUUAAGAAGGUAAUAUACAAGAAGAAAUUUCAAUCAUCUUGUUGCUGGGCAUCGACAUUCUACACCUCUGAUGUUGGCCUUAUACUCGUUUUUACAACUGGAAAAAUUGAGAUAAGGUCCUUGCAUGACUUAUCUUUGAUAAAGGAGACUUCAAUAAGGGCCUUCACAUAUUCCACAUCAAAACUAAAUUCACAUGCUGGCAAUUCGAUAUGCUCUUCAUCCGAAGGAGAACUUGUUAUGGUGAACAGUGAUCAGGAAAUCUUUCUCUUCUCUCUCAUUUUCCAGAAGCAAAGCUUUAGGCUUUUAGACUCCUUCAACAUGCAGCAUUAUGGCACACAAUGGAAUGAGGAUUAUGUUUCAGACGAGCACCGCGCAAAUUUGGUCCUUGAGUGUGUCAAUCACCCUCGCAAUAAGGUGGAAAAUGUAAGAGAAAUGGUGGCAGAUUGUUUGUCGCAACGAGGGGGGGAUGCGGUGGAUGGAAACAAGCAUGAAUUUUGUAAUCUGUGUUCAAGUUGCACAUCUGACCUGCAGUGAAAACUGGGUGAAAUAGGUCAUGGAACUGUUUUUAUUUAUUUAUUUAUGCAUGAAUUACCAUUGGGUAUCCAAGGUGAUGACCAGUGAACCAUAUUGAAUGAUUGUGAUUUAAAUUUGAACCUAAAGUUAUGGACAAAAAUAAUAAUGA